AGAGUUUGAUCAUGGCUCAGAAUCAACGCUGGCGGCGUGCCUAACACAUGCAAGUCGCACGAGAAAGGGGAGCAAUCCCUGAGUAAAGUGGCGCACGGGUGAGUAACACGUGAAUGAUCUACCUCCGAGUGGGGAAUAACUGAGAGAAAUCUUAGCUAAUACCGCAUAACACUUACGAGUCAAAGCAGCAAUGCGCUUGGAGAGGAGUUCGCGGCCGAUUAGUUAGUUGGCGGGGUAAUGGCCCACCAAGACGAUGAUCGGUAUCCGGCCUGAGAGGGCGCACGGACACACUGGAACUGAAACACGGUCCAGACUCCUACGGGAGGCAGCAGUGGGGAACUUUGCGCAAUGGGGGAAACCCUGACGCAGCAACGCCGCGUGGAGGAUGAAAUAUCUUGGUAUGUAAACUCCUUUCGAUGGGGAAGAUUAUGACGGUACCCAUAGAAGAAGCCCCGGCUAACUUCGUGCCAGCAGCCGCGGUAAUACGAGGGGGGCAAGCGUUGUUCGGAUUUAUUGGGCGUAAAGGGUGCGUAGGCGGUUUGGCAAGUCUUAUGUGAAAUCUUCGGGCUCAACCCGAAGCCUGCAUAAGAAACUGCCGGGCUUGAGUAUGGGAGAGGUGAGUGGAAUUUCCGGUGUAGCGGUGAAAUGCGUAGAUAUCGGAAGGAACACCUGUGGCGAAAGCGGCUCACUGGACCAUAACUGACGCUGAUGCACGAAAGCUAGGGGAGCAAACAGGAUUAGAUACCCUAGUAGUCC
This 756-nucleotide ribosomal RNA is filed under the name uncultured bacterium. RNAcentral's name for it is "bacterial SSU rRNA". It matches the Rfam family "Bacterial small subunit ribosomal RNA", at positions 8 to 796 of the family's 1533-position model. The record is from RNAcentral.